This 374-nucleotide ribosomal RNA is filed under the name uncultured eukaryote. Its description in RNAcentral is "partial 18S ribosomal RNA". It matches the Rfam family "Eukaryotic small subunit ribosomal RNA", at positions 592 to 976 of the family's 1831-position model. The record is from RNAcentral.
CAAUAGCGUAUAUUAAAGUUGUUGCAGUUAAAAAGCUCGUAGUUGGAUUUCUGAAUGGAUGCCGAUGCCCGCCUGUUGGCGUGUGCAAAGGUGCCCGUUCAUCCUUCUGUUAAGGUUUCUUAGUAUUCAUUUACUGGUUUCCGGCUCAGAUAUUUUACCUUGAAUAAAUUAGAGUGUUUCAGGCAAGCUUGGUCUUGAAUACAUUAGCAUGGAAUGAUAGAAUAGGACUCUAGAUCCUUUGUUGGUUUCUGGAUUUGGAGUAAUGAUUAAUAGGGAUAGUUGGGGGCAUUAGUAUUUAAUUGUCAGAGGUGAAAUUCUUGGAUUUAUUAAAGACUAACUUAUGCGAAAGCAUUUGCCAAGGAUGUUUUCAUUAA